This 693-nucleotide long non-coding RNA is filed under the name Malus domestica (apple). Its description in RNAcentral is "long non-coding RNA (MDOM_LNC004971)". The record is from RNAcentral. Lineage: Eukaryota; Viridiplantae; Streptophyta; Magnoliopsida; Rosales; Rosaceae.
CAUUCCUCAUUACUUCCCAGCUAUUCCAUAUCUAGAAAAGAUACGUGAACUAUUAAAUUCAGUAUGCAAUACUUAAAUACUAAAUAAUAGACAUAUCAUUGCUGUAUAUAUAAUUUGUAAAAGAAAAGAAAAGAAUGAAAACUUAAUGUAAGAAAACAAAAAGCUGUUUUAAAAUUGAAUCCUUCUGUGUUGAUAUUUUGGUUGUGUAUACUACACACAUACCCAUAUAUACUACACGCUGAAUUCUUAAGAACAUAAUAUGUUAUGCAUGUUUAAUCUUGACAGCAUCAGUGGAAACUUUCAAACUAUAAUUCUUUGUUGAUUAUUCAAAUUUGAAAAAUGAAUAAAAGAACGUAUGGCAAUGUGCAUAUAUAACCAAAAUAAUAUUUCAAAUGACCACACAACAUGGAGUCACAUUGAUACUGAUACAAUUACACUUUUGAGUUUUGAGGUUUGGAUUUUCUUUUUCUGCACUUUUCUACUGCUUUUCGCUUUCAAUGAGUUUUAGGUAUACAAUCACACGAAGAAAAAGCCAAUUGGCAAGAAAGAGAUCCAAAGUCUGGUUCGUUAUGCACCCUUCCGUUGAUAGGAUACACGGGUCAAAAGGAAGGCUUGAGUUCAGAGACAAAGUUGGCUCGGUAAUUGAAUUGUCAUGGUGUUGUGGGAGUCUUGUCCUUCAUCUUUAUCUGUGCA